GCAUUAUAGCAGAAGAGUUCUGUUAAGACCAGCCUAAUUUUUGUUCCCCGGAUAGUUUUGUUUUUAUACUUUGGUUCUUCUAUACUGUAUACUUUUUAUUUAUCCUCAUAAUUAAGAAAGAAAAUUACCUCAGUCUAAAAAUGUCUCUCCAGUGACUGGAACAAAAUUCAAUCUGUCUCCCUAUUCAUUUCCUUUUUGAGAAAGUAUUUUCUUUUGUUUUUGAUAACUCUUAUCUUUUCUCAAUAUCCCAUGCUCUGUCAUCUUUCCUUUUCAUCAUGCUAGAAAACUUCUCAAGUUUAAUUUUCACAUGACUGGCUUGAUUUUUAGUGUCACUUUGCUGUUUUCUAAUAUGAAUUUUGUCAUCAUUCUUUCUUAACUUACCUACACCUUCCUUUUCCUCUAGUUUACUGUUAUAUUUUCUUCCUUGUCAUAGAAACGAUGCUUUCUUGUAUCCUUUUAAUAAUGUUAAGGUUUCCUACAUUUUAUUCAGAUUUCUAUAUUAGAUACUACCCAAUACAUUGGAGUUUGUUUGAUUUUUGAAUCCUCACACUGGAUCUGUGGGACAAUGAACAGUGUUUACCUGCAAACCUAGAGAAUGGAUUUCUCCUGGCUCUUCACUUGAAUGAUGGUCACAACCCUUUCUCAGCACUCCAUGCAGAGUGUAAUUCUUAAGACAUUGCUGUUUUUCAAUUACAUCUGGCCUGUUGGUCUUAACAAGCACCACCAGUGCUCCACUACCAAUGUUUUUGUUUUGUUUGAUACUGAGGUAUCCAGGAUGCUUUUCCAUGGAGUGCUAUGUUCCCAACCUUUUUUAUUUUGAGAAAGGGUCUGCUGAAUUGCUGAGGGUCUCACUAAGUUGCGGAGGCUGACCUCAAACUUGUGAUCCUCCUAUGUCAGCCUCCCAAGUGACUGGGAUUACAGGUUGCAUCACCAUGCCUGACUGAAAUCCACCCCCCCCUUUUUUUUAUAAUAGCAGUGGUCCAGAAUCAACAUUUUUUUAUAUCUUGCUCAGUGUGGAUAGUAUCAGUAAUGUGCAGGUUUAAACAUGUUUUUAAAAUGUUCUUAGAUAAUACGUUUAUUUUUCCUUUUGAAAUAUGCUUCACAGAUGGCUUCUAAGGGAAAAAAAAUUAAAAAAAACUUUCCCAGGUGGGGAAAAAAAAAAAAUCCUGUACAGAUGAGUAGAAUUCACAGUGUUACAAGGGGGAAAAGUUGGAAACAAUUUUUACAGCUCCCCAUAAAACUGUAAAGAAGUGCUUAGAAUAGUGUGGGUUUUUUUUUUUUUAUUGUUGUUCUUGUUUGUUUAUGUUUUUGUUUCUUCAAACCAGGCGUUUUGGACAGCAAUAGUUAAAAAAGUUGCACUUUCACUAGGUGGAACUCUAGACUUGGGUAGGGUUGGCCCUGCCAGUUUUCUAGCUGUGUAGCAAACCUCCUAACCUCAGAUAGUUAAGUUUCCAUCCUAUAACAAGGAAAUCAUACCUGCCCUUACAGAGUCAUGAGGAUCAAGUGAGGUCUUAUUAGGGAAAUGUCUAGAACUGUGAAACUAAAUGCUGAAGUGCAGAAUCGGAUGUUUCUUCCCUUCCAAAUUUUUAGCAUUAUUAGUGUUUACGCCUUGUUUCAACACCACAGGACAGCUGCUGCUCUGAGAUAAAUUAUGCUCACAUAUUAAGUGAAAACUUUCCUAACAUAUUCAGGAGACUGCCAGUUUCAAAUAACAUUAGGUAUGCCUGAUCCACUGGCAAGAAGAUUAUGUAAAGUCAUGCUUACAAGCAAAACAGCUACCCAAGUGAAAAACUGAAUAGUGUGAAUUUCAAAAGGAAAGAAGGGCUUUUAAACAUACAUGGGAUCCUAGGGCUGGGAUUUGGCUCAAUGCACUUGCCUAACAUGAACCAGGGUUUGAUUCCCAUCAUCAAAAAAUACACAGGAAGGCUGGUUUGUGGCUCAGUGGUACAGCACUUGUCUAGUAUGUGUGAGGCACUGGGUUUGAUUCUCAGCACCACAUAUAAAUAAAUGAAUAAAAUAAAGGUCCAUCAACAACAUAUGUAUAUAUAAUUUUUUAAAACCCCACAGGAUCCUGAAUUAGGAAAUUAGGACUAGAUUUUUUAAAUAGCAUCUAAUGCACUAAGUUGGAGAAUUUGAGUUUAAGCACCACGUGUAAUAGACAAGCUGGUUCUUUUGCCCCCCUCAGUUCAAAGUUGUAAGGCCAGUAGGACACAAUGUGCAACAAGGUACUUUUCAAACCAGUAAAGUGCUACGCAGCUUUACAGCUUUUCAGUAAUUGAAAAAAUUAUGCAUGGCAUCUUUUUAAUUUUACUUGUAAGAGCAAUUUUAGUUUCAUCGCAAAAUUGACAGAGUACAGAGUUCUGUAUAUCUCUUAUUCCCACACAUGCCAACCAACCACUCCCAUUAUUCUGCACUACAAUAGUAUAUGUGUUAAAAUCAAAAAACCUGG
Molecule: long non-coding RNA, 2449 nt
Filed under: Marmota monax (woodchuck)
Lineage: Eukaryota; Metazoa; Chordata; Mammalia; Rodentia; Sciuridae
Source: RNAcentral